GAUGAAGAACGUAGCGAAAUGCGAUAAGUAAUGUGAAUUGCAGAAUUCAGUGAAUCAUCGAAUCUUUGAACGCACCUUGCACCCUUUGGCAUUCUGAAGGGUAUGCUCGUUUGAGUGUCAUUGUACUCUCACACUCCCGAUCUUUGCAUUGGGAGCAGUGGACUUGGGUUUGCUGCUUCACCGUCGCUUACCUCAAAUAGGUUAGUGCAACUCUUGGUUGGACAUAGUACGGCGUGAUAAGUGUUCUUCGCCGGUGCCGCGCAAAGAGGGUGGCCGAUCGGGAUGUUGUGCUCCAAACCGUCUUCGGACAAUCUCUGACGACUUGACCUCAAAUCGAGUAAGACUACCCGCUGAACUUAAGCAUAUCAAUAAGCGGAGGA
This 380-nucleotide unclassified non-coding RNA is filed under the name soil metagenome. RNAcentral's name for it is "partial contains 5.8S ribosomal RNA, internal transcribed spacer 2, and large subunit ribosomal RNA". The stretch from base 1 to 120 matches the Rfam family "5.8S ribosomal RNA", at positions 35 to 154 of the family's 154-position model. The record is from RNAcentral.